AAAAAAAACAGAAAGUUAGGAGCUUUCUUGUGUAACUUUCGCUUUUGUUUUUUCAGGAGAAGAGGCAAAACUGCAAAUGAAGGUAGGCAAGAGGGAUCUAGGGCAACCCGCGGAUCGCUGCGGGCUUUCCCGCUUCAGGCCCAGUACCGAACAAAUCCGUACCGCAAGUCCUGCUAUUUUGCGGGUUCUGAAUUCCUCGGACCAAACCCGCCCCACAC
RNAcentral lists this long non-coding RNA (218 nucleotides) under Brassica napus (rape). RNAcentral's name for it is "long non-coding RNA (BNAP_LNC006769)". Lineage: Eukaryota; Viridiplantae; Streptophyta; Magnoliopsida; Brassicales; Brassicaceae. The record is from RNAcentral.